CCUAGCUUCUCCAGGGGCAGGAUUCUCUGGAAAGAGGUUAUCUAGCAGCACAAGAUGAACACAGAGUCCAACUGCAGACAGUGGCUGAGCCCCUCUGACCCAGGGAGUUGGAGGGCUGUAUAUUCCAGUGUGGGAUGCGCUUGGAGGAGCUCAAAGAGCAGGUGAAGCAGACUGAACAGGACCGCCCCACCUCAGAGGCCCCUCCCACUCUACUGCCUUACCCCACCCCCUACUCCAUGCCAGAAGGGGGCAGUGAGCACAUGCCACUCCCUGAGCUACCAGAGUUUCAGGGAGGUGCACAGACUGCUAGACCUGGAUCUGACAGAGGGAGACCAUGACUUUCCUGAUGCAGGAGAAGAAGCCACACAUGCAGGCGGUGAGGGGACAAGAGAGGGACCACACCCAGUGACCAGGAGGGCCACACAUGUCUCCCUCAGAGCCAAUGCUAGGUCAGAAGGACGCUACAUUCAUUCCACUGGCAAGACCAAGGACCAGCAAAUCAGUUCUUUGUUCCCCUAAAGACCUCAGCCAAUCCCCUGCAUUUCAUGGCUCGCCUGCCAGUGACAGCAAGAGGUCAGAGGUCAGGAAGUCUCGAGGCAGCAGGCUCACCAGUCGGGGGAGAGUACUGCGUCAGAGAGGAGGGGCUCCAAACUGCAGCCUGGGACCAGGAGAGUGUAAUCUCAGGUCAAUUACUUGAGAGACUGGAUCAAGCUUCCAUUACAUUUUUGACUGCUUAUUCACCUACCUGGUGUCUGCUGUGAAAGAACAAAUGUCAUUACUUUUUGCACACUAUCCACCCAUUUCCUGUUCAUGACUGAAAACACAAUGUAAUUGCAUCUAACUUGUUUCCAAAACAUGUUCAACCAACAAAUAUCUGUUUUUUUGUUGUUGUACUUUUUAGUAAUUUAACUGACACUCUUAUCCAUAGCUAGGUGGGACAACCACAUAUCAUAGGCAUAGUAAGUACAUUUUUCCUCAAAGUAGCUAUCAAUCAGUAAAGUCAGAGCUAGUAAGUGAGGAAAAAGUGUAUAGGUCUAUGCAUAUGAAAAAUAAUGUUGAAUAAUAAGAAUGUUGUUCAUUUAUCUUGACAAUUCAGCAAUAUCUUCUAAACCAGCAGUAAAUUGUCUCUCAAACCCUCUGUGUGAUAGGAUAGGAUAGGAUCAUCUCACCCGAGAUGUGGGCUCUGAGAGCGGUCACCUGACUCCUGCAGCACCCAGUCCCUUCCACCAGAUGGCCACCACGAGUCUGUGUAGCCUGUCAGUUCCAGAGGAGCAGAACUCAGGGAAGCCCCAACACACACCCCCUCUCCCCUCCUCCUCCCCCUCACAAAGACCUCAGAGACCCGCCUCGCUGGAGCACAGUGGAGGCUCUCCUCUCAGCACCACAAGGUGGGUACGAGAGUCUUCAGGGAGAACUAGGGGAGGGGGGUCUCAGCAUCCAGCUUCCCCCAGACCU
Oncorhynchus kisutch (coho salmon) is the source of this 1455-nucleotide long non-coding RNA. RefSeq lists it as uncharacterized. The transcript is spliced from 5 exons. Lineage: Eukaryota; Metazoa; Chordata; Actinopteri; Salmoniformes; Salmonidae. The record is from RefSeq and is a predicted model, not a curated record.